GCUUUGUUUAUAUAUUGAUAAUGAAGAAAAUAUAUCGUGUCUUGACUAAUUGCGUGCCAGCAGUCGCGGUAAUACGUAAGAGACUAGUGUUAUUCAUCUUUUCUCUGGGGUAAAGGGUACCCAGACGGUCAAUAUAGCUUCUAAAAUGUUAGUACUUGACUAGAGUUUUAUGUAAGAGGGCAGUACUUGAGGAGGAGAGAUGAAAUUCCGUGAUACCAAAGGGACUCUGUAAAGGCGAAGGCAGCCCUCUAUGUAAAAACUGACGUUGAAGGACGAAGGCACAGAGAACAAACAGGAUUAGAUACCCAAGUAGUCUUUGCAGUAAAUGAUGAAUGCCAUAGGUCAGAUUAAUGUAGAUGAGGGACUAGACAUUAAACGUUAUUUGGUCUAUAAAUGAAAGUGUAAGCAUUCCACCUCAAGAGUAAUGUGGCAACGCAGGAACUGAAAUCACUAGACCGUUUCUGACACCAGUAGUGAAGUAUGUUAUUUAAUU
This 493-nucleotide ribosomal RNA is filed under the name Fusarium udum. RNAcentral's name for it is "SSU rRNA". It matches the Rfam family "Bacterial small subunit ribosomal RNA", at positions 432 to 951 of the family's 1533-position model. The record is from RNAcentral. Lineage: Eukaryota; Fungi; Ascomycota; Sordariomycetes; Hypocreales; Nectriaceae.